UAGGGUUUGAUUAUGGCUCAGAACGUACGCUGGCGGCACGCCUAACACAUGCAAGUCGAACGAAGUAGCAAUACUUAUUGGCAGACGGGUGAGUAACAUGUAGGUAUCUGCCCUUUGGCCUGGAAUAACACGAGGAAACUUGUGCUAAUACCGGAUAAGUCUUUACGGAGAAAGCUUUAUGCACCAUUGGAUGAGCCUGCACUUGAUUAGUUUGUUGGUGGGGUAAUGGCCUACCAAGACUGUGAUCAAUAGCUGAUUUGAGAGGAUGAUCAGCCACAUUGGGACUGAGACACGGCCCAAACUCCUACGGGAGGCAGCAGUGGGGAAUCUUGCACAAUGGAGGAAACUCUGAUGCAGCGAUGCCGCGUGAGUGAAGAAGGCCCUUGGGUUGUAAAGCUCUUUCGUCGGGGAAGAAAAUGACUGUACCCGAAUAAGAAGGUCCGGCUAACUUCGUGCCAGCAGCCGCGGUAAUACGAAGGGACCUAGCGUAGUUCGGAAUUACUGGGCUUAAAGAGUUCGUAGGUGGUUGAAAAAGUUAGUGGUGAAAUCCCAGAGCUUAACUCUGGAACUGCCAUUAAAACUUUUCAGCUAGAGUACGAUAGAGGAAAGCAGAAUUUCUAGUGUAGAGGUGAAAUUCGUAGAUAUUAGAAAGAAUACCAAUUGCGAAGGCAGCUUUCUGGAUCAUUACUGACACUGAGGAACGAAAGCAUGGGUAGCGAAGAGGAUUAGAUACCCUCGUAGUCCAUGCCGUAAACGAUGUGUGUUAGACGUUGGAAAUUUAUUUUCAGUGUCGCAGGGAAACCGAUAAACACACCGCCUGGGGAGUACGACCGCAAGGUUAAAACUCAAAUGAAUUGACGGGGACCCGCACAAGUAGUGGAGCAUGUGGUUUAAUUCGAAGAUACGCGCAGAACCUUACCAACACUUGACAUGUUCGUCGCGACUCUAAGAGAUUAGAGUUUUCGGUUCGGCCGGACGAAACACAGGUGCUGCAUGGCUGUCGCCAGCUCGUGUCGUGAGAUGUUGGGUUAAGUCCCGCAACGAGCGCAACCCUCACUUUUAGUUGCCAUCAUUAAGUUGGGCACUCUGAAAGAACUGCCAGUGAUAAGCUGGAGGAAGGUGGGGAUGACGUCAAGUCCUCAUGGCCCUUACGUGUUGGGCUACACACGUGCUACAAUGGUAUCUACAACAGGAAGCAAGACUGCGAAGUUAAGCAAAUCCCUAAAAGAUACCUCAGUUCGGAUUGCACUCUGCAACUCGAGUGCAUGAAGCUGGAAUUACUAGUAAUCGUGGAUCAGCGUGCCACGGUGAAUGCGUUCCCGGGUCUUGUACACACCGCCCGUCACACCAUGGGAGUUGGUUCUACCUUAAGGCAAGGUUUCAAACCCUUGACCACGGUAUAGUCAGCGACUGGGGUGAAGUCGUAACAAGGUAGCC
This 1437-nucleotide ribosomal RNA is filed under the name uncultured bacterium. Its description in RNAcentral is "bacterial SSU rRNA". It matches the Rfam family "Bacterial small subunit ribosomal RNA". The record is from RNAcentral.